UACGUAGGGGGCUAGCGUUGUCCGGAAUCAUUGGGCGUAAAGAGCGUGUAGGCGGUCCGGUAAGUCCGCUGUGAAAGUCGGGGGCUCAACCCUCGAAUGCCGGUGGAUACUGUCGGGCUAGAGUGCGGAAGAGGCGAGUGGAAUUCCUGGUGUAGCGGUGGAAUGCGCAGAUAUCAGGAGGAACACCGAUGGCGAAGGCAGGUCACUGGGCCGCAACUGACGCUGAGGAGCGAAAGCAUGGGGAGCGAACAGG
Molecule: ribosomal RNA, 253 nt
Filed under: uncultured bacterium
Lineage: Bacteria
Description: partial 16S ribosomal RNA
Rfam family: Bacterial small subunit ribosomal RNA
Source: RNAcentral